GACGAACGCUGGCGGCGUGCCUAAUACAUGCGAGUCCAGCGAGCGGAACCAACAGAUUUACUUGGGUAAUGACGUUGGGAAAGCGAGCGGCGGAUGGGGGAGUAACACGUGGGGAACCUGCCCCUAAGUCUGGGAUACCAUUUGGAAACAGGUGCUAAUACCGGAUAAUAAAGCAAAUCGCAUGAUCAGCUUUUGAAAGGCGGCGUAAGCUGUCGCUAAGGGAUGGCCCCGCGGUGCAUUAGCUAGUUGGUAAGGUAACGGCUUACCAAGGCGACGAUGCAUAGCCGAGUUGAGAGACUGAUCGGCCACAUUGGGACUGAGACACGGCCCAAACUCCUACGGGAGGCAGCAGUAGGGAAUCUUCCACAAUGGACGCAAGUCUGAUGGAGCAACGCCGCGUGAGUGAAGAAGGUUUUCGGAUCGUAAAGCUCUGUUGUUGGUGAAGAAGGAUAGAGGUAGUAACUGGCCUUUAUUUGACGGUAAUCAACCAGAAAGUCACGGCUAACUAC
This 509-nucleotide ribosomal RNA is filed under the name uncultured bacterium. RNAcentral's name for it is "bacterial SSU rRNA". It matches the Rfam family "Bacterial small subunit ribosomal RNA", at positions 28 to 504 of the family's 1533-position model. The record is from RNAcentral.